This 933-nucleotide long non-coding RNA is filed under the name Numida meleagris (helmeted guineafowl). RNAcentral's name for it is "lncRNA (ENSNMEG00000001124.1)". The record is from RNAcentral. Lineage: Eukaryota; Metazoa; Chordata; Aves; Galliformes; Numididae.
GUUCUUCCUUCUCUGCAUGAAAUUGGACAUCUGUUGACAGCUGGGUGAAAUUUCUUUGACAGGAAAUUUUUUGUCAGGAGGGGGAAGUAAUCAAAUUUGGCAGCCAUGGAAUAUUUUAACAAGUUUGCAUUGGUUUCUCUAAGGAGCUUGUCUUGCACAAAUUUCAUAAAAAGCAGUCAUAUUUGUGUUGUACUUUGUAAUGUAAAAAUUAUAUCUUGGCAUCAUGAUGAGCGCUAUUAUAGUGUCAUGGAAGUGCACAUGGCCAAUAUAUAUCUAAUGGAGAGGAGUCUCAGAGACUUUAAAAUUAGUUUAGUUUAGUUUAGUUUAGAUUUAAAAAAAAAAAAACAAAAAACCCUCAUCUCUUACUGCUUUCAUCUCCUCAAAAAAAGUAAAUGAAAAAGAAAGCUUUCAUAUCAUAAUUCUAAUUUCAAAUUCUCUACUGUUUGUCAGUCAGAGAAGCUGAUCUACAAACAUCCUUCUUACUGAGGGAUACUGGCUCUGCUGUACUUUUCCGUUCUAGAUCACAACACCAGUAGGAUACACAGAGAUGCUUUGGUGUAAAACCAGCCAAAGGCACGUGCACAUACGGAUAUGUACACUGAUACUAAUCAGGACAGAUGUUUCCUGCUUCAGUGCUACACAUAUUGCAGCAUAUGUACCAGAAUAUGCAGGAACAAGUGAUACAAGACUCCCCACCUUUUACCAAUCACUGUCUGCAAACAUUAUGAUGAAAAUUUGUAGCCAUUUUCCCAUCUUAGAGUGUUCUUCAUGAUAGUUAGCAUAGCAGAGAUAUUAUGGAGGCACUGGAUGCAUCGGUCUAAUACUUUUAAGAAACAAACUUUGCAGAAUGUUAUUGAUUAAAAUGCUCUUGAUGAAAUGAUGACAAUACCACCUCUUUUUUUUUUUUUUUAUCUUAAGGACAAAAAAAAAAAA